AUACGGAGGGUGCAAGCGUUACUCGGAAUCACUGGGCGUAAAGCGCGCGCAGGCGGCUUGAUAAGUUGGAUGUGAAAGCCUACGGCUCAACCGUAGAACUGCAUCCAAAACUGUCAGGCUAGGGUGUGGGAGAGGAAGAUGGAAUUAGUUGUGUAGGGGUAAAAUCCGUAGAGAUAACUAGGAAUACCAUAAGCGAAGGCAAUCUUCUGGAACACUACUGACGCUGAGGCGCGAAGGCGUGGGGAGCAAACAGGAUUAGAUACCCCGGUAGUCC
This 274-nucleotide ribosomal RNA is filed under the name uncultured bacterium. Its description in RNAcentral is "partial 16S ribosomal RNA". It matches the Rfam family "Bacterial small subunit ribosomal RNA", at positions 523 to 796 of the family's 1533-position model. The record is from RNAcentral.